CCCUUAGAUGUUCUGGGCCGCACGCGCGCUACACUGUUCGACGCAGCGGGUCUUAACCUUGACCGAAAGGUUUGGGUAAUCUUCAGCAAAGUCGAACGUGAUGGGGAUCGAUCAUUGCAAUUAUUGAUCGUGAACGAGGAAUUCCUAGUAAGUGCAAGUCAUCAGCUUGCGCUGAUUACGUCCCUGCCCUUUGUACACACCGCCCGUCGCUACUACCGAUUGAAUGGUUUAGUGAGAUCUCUGGAUUGACGCUGGCUAGGGGGCGACCCUUGGCCAGACUGCUCGAGAAACUGCUCAAACUUGAUCAUUUAGAGGAAGUAAAAGUCGUAACA
This 332-nucleotide ribosomal RNA is filed under the name uncultured eukaryote. RNAcentral's name for it is "partial 18S ribosomal RNA". It matches the Rfam family "Eukaryotic small subunit ribosomal RNA", at positions 1470 to 1796 of the family's 1831-position model. The record is from RNAcentral.